GACGAACGCUGGCGGCGUGCCUAACACAUGCAAGUCGAGCGGAGCCAAUUUAACAAACCCUUCGGGGUGCGUUAGAGGAAGCUUAGCGGCGGACGGGUGAGUAACGCGUGAGUAACCUGCCCAUAAGAGAGGGAUAACACAGAGAAAUUUGUGCUAAUACCGUAUAAUGUCUUCGGACCAAAGAUUUAUCGCCCAAGGAUGAGCCCGCGUAAGAUUAGGUAGUUGGUGAGGUAAAAGCUCACCAAGCCGACGAUCUUUAGCUGGUCUGAGAGGAUGAUCAGCCACACUGGGACUGAGACACGGCCCAGACUCCUACGGGAGGCAGCAGUGGGGAAUAUUGGACAAUGGGCGAAAGCCUGAUCCAGCAAUGCCGCGUGAGUGAUGAAGGCCUUAGGGUUGUAAAGCUCUUUUACCCGGGAUGAUAAUGACAGUACCGGGAGAAUAAGCUCCGGCUAACUCCGUG
This 463-nucleotide ribosomal RNA is filed under the name uncultured bacterium. RNAcentral describes it as "bacterial SSU rRNA". It matches the Rfam family "Bacterial small subunit ribosomal RNA", at positions 28 to 507 of the family's 1533-position model. The record is from RNAcentral.